GGGCUGCUAGCUCAGGUGGUUAGAGCGCACGCCUGAUNNGUGAGGUCGGUGGUUCGAGUCCACUGCGGCCCA
This 72-nucleotide transfer RNA is filed under the name Candidatus Gastranaerophilales bacterium HUM_18. RNAcentral's name for it is "tRNA-Ser". It matches the Rfam family "tRNA". Rfam says of the family: Transfer RNA (tRNA) molecules are approximately 80 nucleotides in length. Lineage: Bacteria; Bacillati; Candidatus Melainabacteria; Candidatus Gastranaerophilales. The record is from RNAcentral.